This 506-nucleotide ribosomal RNA is filed under the name uncultured bacterium. RNAcentral describes it as "partial 16S ribosomal RNA". It matches the Rfam family "Bacterial small subunit ribosomal RNA", at positions 30 to 523 of the family's 1533-position model. The record is from RNAcentral.
AUUGAACGCUGGCGGCAGGCCUAACACAUGCAAGUCGAGCGGCAGCGGAAAGUAGCUUGCUACUUUGCCGGCGAGCGGCGGACGGGUGAGUAAUGUCUGGGAAACUGCCUGAUGGAGGGGGAUAACUACUGGAAACGGUAGCUAAUACCGCAUAACGUCGCAAGACCAAAGAGGGGGAGCUUCGGGCCUCUUUCCAUCAGAUGUGCCCAGAUGGGAUUAUAUGGCCGGUAGGGUAAUGGACUACCUGGGUGACGAUCCCUAGCUGGUCUGAGAGGAUAACCAGCCACACUGGAACUGAGACACGGUCCAGACUCCUACGGGAGGCAGCAGUGGGGAAUAUUGCACAAUGGGCGCAAGCCUGAUGCAGCCAUGCCGCGUGUGUGAAGAAGGCCUUCGGGUUGUAAAGCACUUUCAGCGAGGAGGAAGGCAGUAAGGUUAAUAACCUUGCUGAUUGACGUUACUCGCAGAAGAAGCACCGGCUAACUCCGUGCCAGCAGCCGCGGUAA